Molecule: ribosomal RNA, 492 nt
Filed under: uncultured bacterium
Lineage: Bacteria
Description: partial 16S ribosomal RNA
Rfam family: Bacterial small subunit ribosomal RNA
Source: RNAcentral
AGUGAACGCUGGCGGUAGGCCUAACACAUGCCAGUCGAACGGCAGCACAGUAAGAGCUUGCUCUUACGGGUGGCGAGUGGCGGACGGGUGAGGAAUACAUCGGAAUCUACUUUUUCGUGGGGGAUAACGUAGGGAAACUUACGCUAAUACCGCAUACGACCUACGGGUGAAAGCAGGGGAUCUUCGGACCUUGCGCGAUUGAAUGAGCCGAUGUCGGAUUAGCUAGUUGGCGGGGUAAAGGCCCACCAAGGCGACGAUCCGUAGCUGGUCUGAGAGGAUGAUCAGCCACACUGGAACUGAGACACGGUCCAGACUCCUACGGGAGGCAGCAGUGGGGAAUAUUGGACAAUGGGCGCAAGCCUGAUCCAGCCAUACCGCGUGGGUGAAGAAGGCCUUCGGGUUGUAAAGCCCUUUUGUUGGGAAAGAAAAGCAGCAGGUUAAUACCCCGCUGUUCUGACGGUACCGAAAGAAUAAGCACCGGCUAACUUCGUG